GGCGGCGGGGGACGACGAGAAGAAGCCUCCGCCGGAGACGGGGACGGGCGGGGGCGACGACGGUGAGCGGAGGAUGGAUCCGUCCAAGGAUGGCGAUUUCUCCGUGUUUUUCUGAGGUGUUUUUAGAUUUUAGUGCUACGUCCUUCCCAGAAAAAAUGGGUUUGGCCAGGUUUAUUCUGUCAAUACGAUAUUUUCUUUUCGUUAGGAACUCGUAGUACAGAACAGUAAGUAUAUGGUGGGAUUUGGUGGACGGAUGAGUACAUAAUUAAGGAGGUAAUCGUGUGUUUAGACGAGUAGAGUAGUACGUUUUUGCUUUGCUUCUUGUCCACAUUUUUGGUGGAUACCUUGCUUUGGCCCGUACAUACAAGGAUUAUUGAGGCGAUCGAGUACAUGAUGAAUAAUCAACAGUUAGAUUAAGCAGAUGAGGUGGUGUUUCUUUACCAGGGACACUUUUAGUCCCUAGGUAAAGAAACACGAGGGACUUUUCCUUAAAGGACUAGAAGAAGACUAAACUUUUUUUUAGUCUCUGGGAUUAAAAAAAAGCCUAGUCCCAAACACCACCUAAGUUGCAAAUUGGUCUUGAUGUCUGUUUUUCCAUUUCGCGCACAGUGGCUUUUGGUAUGGAAAUUCUAGGCAUCUAUACUUGCUAAAAAUAACUAUUCUGUUCUCGCG
This 672-nucleotide long non-coding RNA is filed under the name Hordeum vulgare. Its description in RNAcentral is "long non-coding RNA (HVUL_LNC005067)". The record is from RNAcentral. Lineage: Eukaryota; Viridiplantae; Streptophyta; Magnoliopsida; Poales; Poaceae.